AGACUCCUCUGCGGGAGAGGAGAAUAGCUGUACUCUAAGCAGUUCGCAGGGAGCAUCUUUCAGCAGCUGAAACAGCUUUGCGGCCUUGCUGUAAUGAAGAUCUGCCAGCACCCGGUGUUGUUUCCUAAGGUGUUCAUCACCAACCUAGAACCAAACCAAAACAAGCAACAAAUCCUUCACGAGAAAGAAAGAAAACAACUGUGUAAGCAGACAUCAGUGUAAACCUUAGCACUGUCUCUUGAUGAGAUAAGAGGAGGAUGGCAGUGACAGGAGUGUGGUGGCGAGCCAGUCACCUGCAGUCAACCACGGCUCAUUGCUCUCACCAUGCCUGUUACAUGAAGGUAUGUAUGUAUAGGAAAAAGCACUGAAAAACUCUCCAGUUUCAGGCAUCCACUGGGGAUCCUGGAACGCAUCCUCCAAGGAUAAGUGGGGUCUACUGUACAACACUUAAGUAUAACCCUCUUCACUAUUAACCAAAUGAUAUUAAAAUAAGCAAAGAAAAACA
RNAcentral lists this non-coding RNA (505 nucleotides) under Pan troglodytes (chimpanzee). Lineage: Eukaryota; Metazoa; Chordata; Mammalia; Primates; Hominidae. The record is from RNAcentral.